AAAAAAAAAAACAACCCUUAAAACAGAUCAUGUGUUAAUGGUAUUUCUCUUUGUUGAAGCUGUAACCAUAUUUCAAAUGCUUUAAGUUAAAAUGUUUACUGUCUUGGUGACUUCCCAGGUUCUUGGACUUGAUAUUUGUGCUGACACAAUGGUGGGAGAUGAGAUGAGAAGAGGCAUCGCUGGAGGUCGAAAAAGGAGACUGACUAAAGGAGAGACGGUUGUUGGUCCCACAAAAGCCUUAUUUAUGGAUGAAAUAUGAAAUGGUUUAGACAGUUCAACUGUAUGUCAGAUUGUUGCUUGUCUGCAGCAGCUGUUGCAUAUCAUGGAUGCUACCAUAUUGAUUUCACUUCUUCAGCCAGCUCCAGAAACAUUUGAACUCUUUGAUGGCAUCAUUUUUAUGGCAGAAGGAAAGCUUGUGUAUCAAGGAUUAUGCAAUCAAGUUGUAGAAUUUUUCGAGAACUGUGGAUUCAGGUGUCCUCAAAGAAAUGGCAUAGCUGACUUUCUUCAGGAGGUGAUGUCUUGAAAAGAUCAAGCGCAAUACUGGUACCACACUGAAGCUCCUUACAAUUAUGUUUCAAUAGAUAUGUUCUGUGAAAAGUUCAAGAAUCUCCUCUUGGCAAGAAGCUUGAUGAGGAUCUCUUGGUGCCAUAUGAUAGAUCCAAAAGCCACAAGGAUGCUCUUUCCUUCAAUGUGUAUUCUCUUUCUAAGUGGCAACUCCUUAGAGCUUGCAUGUCAAGGGAAUAUCUUCUGUUGAACAGAAAUUCUUUUAUCUGUGUUCAAAACAACCCAGGUUAUUACUAUAAUUAUUAAUUUUCAAUUAUGUUAUACUUUUGUAAUUACAUGUGCAAAGGCAUGGAUAAUCUGAAACAUGUAAAGGAAUUUCUUGUUACAGAUUGUUAUCGUUGCAACCAUCAUGAUGACCGUCUUUUUGCGGACUCAGAUGGAAAUUUAUGCUCUUCAUGCAAAUUACUACAUUGGUUCCCUGUUCUUUGGACUCAUGAUACUUCACGUUGAUGGUAUUCCAGAAUUGUCUCUGACGACAGCUAGACUUCCAGUGUUCUUCAAAUAGAAAGAGUUGUACUUUUACCCUGCUUGGUCAUAUGCAAUUCCAGCCACCAAUUUGGAAAUUCCUCUUUCAUUAAUUGAAUCUGUGACAUGGACAUGCCUUACUUACCAUGUCAUUGGCUACAGUCAUGAGGCCAAUUGUUGAGUUUUAAUUACAGUGGAUGUGUUUACUAGUGCAUUGUAUCCUUUUUAUAUCUUAUUUAUCAUUUCAUUAUAUUAUAUGAUCUAUCAAUCAUCAAUCAGUGCGUUAUAUCUAAAGCUUAACAUCAAACAAUCUCCAAAAUGAUAGCAUACUGAAUUCUUAUGAUUAGCUUUGUUAAUCUUCUGUAUCAAAAUAAAAGAAAAUGAUUAUGUACUCAGACAUGAAUUCCUCAACAAUGUGCUUGAAUUCACUUUGCAG
This is a long non-coding RNA of Mangifera indica (mango), 1465 nucleotides long. RefSeq lists it as uncharacterized. The record is from RefSeq and is a predicted model, not a curated record. The transcript has 3 exons. Lineage: Eukaryota; Viridiplantae; Streptophyta; Magnoliopsida; Sapindales; Anacardiaceae.